RNAcentral lists this ribosomal RNA (622 nucleotides) under Halomonas aidingensis. RNAcentral's name for it is "bacterial SSU rRNA". It matches the Rfam family "Bacterial small subunit ribosomal RNA", at positions 46 to 662 of the family's 1533-position model. The record is from RNAcentral. Lineage: Bacteria; Pseudomonadati; Pseudomonadota; Gammaproteobacteria; Oceanospirillales; Halomonadaceae.
GUCUAACCAUGCAAGUCGAGCGGAACGAUCCUAGCUUGCUAGGAGGCGUCGAGCGGCGGAGGGUGAGUAAUGCAUAGGAAUCUGCCCGGUAGUGGGGGAUAACCUGGGGAAACUCAGGCUAAUACCGCAUACGUCCUACGGGAGAAAGCAGGGGAUCUUCGGACCUUGCGCUAUCGGAUGAGCCUAUGUCGGAUUAGCUGGUUGGUGAGGUAACGGCUCACCAAGGCGACGAUCCGUAGCUGGUCUGAGAGGAUGAUCAGCCACUUCGGGACUGAGACACGGCCCGAACUCCUACGGGAGGCAGCAGUGGGGAAUAUUGGACAAUGGGCGCAAGCCUGAUCCAGCCAUGCCGCGUGUGUGAAGAAGGCCCUCGGGUUGUAAAGCACUUUCAGUGGGGAAGAAAUCCUCGGGGCCAAUACCCCCGAGGGAGGACAUCACCCACAGAAGAAGCACCGGCUAACUCCGUGCCAGCAGCCGCGGUAAUACGGAGGGUGCGAGCGUUAUUCGGAAUUACUGGGCGUAAAGCGCGCGUAGGCGGCCUGAUAUGCCGGUUGUGUAAGCCCCGGGCUCAACCUGUUAACGGCAUCCGGAACUGUCAGGCUAGAGCGCAGGAGAGGAAGGU